RNAcentral lists this ribosomal RNA (301 nucleotides) under uncultured bacterium. RNAcentral describes it as "partial 16S ribosomal RNA". It matches the Rfam family "Bacterial small subunit ribosomal RNA", at positions 509 to 809 of the family's 1533-position model. The record is from RNAcentral.
CAGCCGCCGCGGUAAGACAGAGGAUGCAAGCGCUAUCCGGAAUGAUUGGGUGUAAAGUGUCUAUAGGUGGCUUUUCAAGUCCGCUGUCAAAUCCUAGGGCUCAACCCUGGACAGGCGAUGGAAACUACCAAGCUGAUUAUGGUAGGGGUAGAUGGAAUUUCUAGUGGAGCAGUGAAAUGCGUUGAGAUCGGAAAGAACACCAACAGCAAAAGCACUCUACUAGGGCGACACUGACACUGAGAGAUGAAAGAUAGGGGAGCAAAUGGGAUUAGAUACCCCCGUAGUCCCUGUCUCUUAUACA